This 352-nucleotide unclassified non-coding RNA is filed under the name Zea mays. RNAcentral describes it as "misc RNA Zm00001eb344990". Lineage: Eukaryota; Viridiplantae; Streptophyta; Magnoliopsida; Poales; Poaceae. The record is from RNAcentral.
CGGCACGUACAGCAGCGUGCCGCCCCGCGCGCCCCGGCGACGCGCGAUGCGCGCCACGGCGCGCGCGAACGCGCCCGUGUUGAGCGUCUGCCCGUCCCCGCGCGCCCCGAAGCUGGCCACGGACAUCCACGCCCCGCGCCGCGGCGCCGGCCCCGACCAGCACGUCUCCUGCGCCCCCGCCGAUGGUGGCGGCGGCAGCAGCAGCAGCAGGACCGCCGCCGCCGCCGCGAGGAGCAGGCCCAGCGUCGGCGGCAUUCUUCUCUCGUGGCGUGGCGUGGCUGUGAGAGUGAGGGAAGCGACGAGCAGGAGGGGACAAGGCGCAAAAGCUGCUCUGCGUCCCGGCUUUCAGCGU